RNAcentral lists this small nuclear RNA (170 nucleotides) under Lynx canadensis (Canada lynx). RNAcentral's name for it is "U2 spliceosomal RNA (ENSLCNG00005011478.1)". It matches the Rfam family "U2 spliceosomal RNA". Rfam says of the family: U2 is a small nuclear RNA (snRNA) component of the spliceosome (involved in pre-mRNA splicing). The record is from Rfam by way of RNAcentral. Lineage: Eukaryota; Metazoa; Chordata; Mammalia; Carnivora; Felidae. RNAcentral also lists the same sequence under 1 other name.
AUCGCUUCUCGGCCUUUUGGCUAAGAUCAAGUGAAGAUUCUAUGUGAUGAAAUGGGAAGCAUCCCACUGCUUAUUACACCUAAGUAUCAUAGCUGUCUUGAGAAAAAUCACUUGUGCUAUUGUUCGAGUUGCUAGCUGAAAUUUUUCAUAGUUUUUUGCAUAGACCUCCA